Molecule: ribosomal RNA, 301 nt
Filed under: uncultured bacterium
Lineage: Bacteria
Description: partial 16S ribosomal RNA
Rfam family: Bacterial small subunit ribosomal RNA
Source: RNAcentral
CAGCCGCCGCGGUAAAACAGAGGAUGCAAGCGUUAUCCGGAAUGAUUGGGCGUAAAGCGUCUGUAGGUGGCUUUUCAAGUCCGCCGUCAAAUCCCAGGGCUCAACCCUGGACAGGCGGUGGAAACUACCAAGCUGGAGUACGGUAGGGGCAGAGGGAAUUUCCGGUGGAGCGGUGAAAUGCGUAGAGAUGUGGAGGAACACCAGUGGCGAAGGCGACUCUCUGGUCUGUAACUGACGCUGAGGAGCGAAAGCGUGGGGAGCGAACAGGAUUAGAUACCCCAGUAGUCCCUGUCUCUUAUAC